This 288-nucleotide unclassified non-coding RNA is filed under the name Hevea brasiliensis (rubber tree). Lineage: Eukaryota; Viridiplantae; Streptophyta; Magnoliopsida; Malpighiales; Euphorbiaceae. The record is from RNAcentral.
UUCUAAGCUUGCCAAGUGGAUUUUUUCUCCUUCCCACCUCGCCAUCAAUAUCAGAGCUAUCCUCAUGCUGUCUACUUGUUUUCACAUGCUGCUUCACCUCCUGAGUUCUAUGCUUAGAUAAGUCCAAAUCAAGGUUAGGAUCAUCAUCAGAAUCAUGCCUCCUAUGAAUUUUCUCAUACUUUCCAACCUCUUGAUUGGAAAAACCCAUUCUAACAUCAUCAUCAUCAAUCAUGGAAUCAUCUACAUCAUUACGAUGUCUUUCACUUCUCUUGUACUUCUCUGAAGUUC